GCCGGGGUAGCCUAGCCUGGUUUGGGCGCCAGACUCAUAAUCUGGAGGUCGCGGGCUCGAAUCCCGCCCCCGGCACCA
Molecule: transfer RNA, 78 nt
Filed under: Candidatus Bathyarchaeota archaeon
Lineage: Archaea; Thermoproteati; Candidatus Bathyarchaeota
Also listed under: 5 other names
Description: tRNA-Met
Rfam family: tRNA
About the family: Transfer RNA (tRNA) molecules are approximately 80 nucleotides in length. Their secondary structure includes four short double-helical elements and three loops (D, anti-codon, and T loops).
Source: RNAcentral